This is a long non-coding RNA of Xenia sp. Carnegie-2017, 714 nucleotides long. RefSeq lists it as uncharacterized. Lineage: Eukaryota; Metazoa; Cnidaria; Anthozoa; Malacalcyonacea; Xeniidae. The transcript is spliced from 2 exons. The record is from RefSeq and is a predicted model, not a curated record.
UUUUGAAAGAAAAGAAAAAUUCCAUCUACUUACCAACUGCAUAUAGCAUUAACCAGUGGCGAUCCGAUUUUUUCCAACCAUCCUUCUGAAUAUUGCUAUACGAUUUGUGCAGGAUACACGUGACCACAAUUUGCUGUAAACAAGACCUGGCAAAGAUGUUUGAACAGUUUGAUAUGAAUGAGCGCAAUCAUAAACGAAAAUUAUAUAAACUGAAACGAUUAAAAGUAUUCAUUGAUGGAAGACUGAAUAGGAAGAUAAAAGUGAAACAAUAGCUGUCAGAAAUCGUAGACGGAGUUGAGGCAGCAAUCGCAAGAUAGAUCAUUAAUUUAUUUGUUGAAUAUUUUGUUUAUGUAUAAUAGCUAGCUAUUUACCAUAAGCAAUAACGCUACCAUUUAGAAAUUUUUUGAUACAUCAAUACCAAUGGCGUAUCUAGGGUACGUCAAUGAAAAUUAUUUAUUGUACCUCGUUUGGGGUUUCAAUAAUAGUUUAGAGACAACUUGAUUGGUAUAAUUUUAUAAUUUAGAAAUUCAAAUAUUUAGUAUUUUUAGGAAGAUUUCUUGAAUUAAAAGGGAGCAUCUAUAAAUUAUUUUGGCAAACGCUGGAUCCACCUAUGUAAUAUGAAAAAUUUAAUCAAAAAACGUCAACAGAGUUGUACAUAAAUAAAGUUAUAUAUAUUAUUAAAUUUAGCAUAAAUCAGCGUAUACAUUACGUAAA